This 580-nucleotide ribosomal RNA is filed under the name uncultured bacterium. RNAcentral describes it as "bacterial SSU rRNA". It matches the Rfam family "Bacterial small subunit ribosomal RNA", at positions 8 to 610 of the family's 1533-position model. The record is from RNAcentral.
AGAGUUUGAUCCUGGCUCAGGAUGAACGCUGGCGGCGUGCCUAACACAUGCAAGUCGAACGUGAUCUACUUCGGUAGUGAAAGUGGCGCACGGGUGAGUAACACGUAGCUUAUCUGCCCCAAAGAGGGGGAUAACGGAUCGAAAGGUCUGCUAAUACCCCAUAAGCUCACGAGGGAUAGCCCCCUUGCGAGAAAAGCUCCGACGCUUUGGGAGGGGGCUGCGGCCCAUCAGCUAGUUGGCGAGGUAAUGGCUCACCAAGGCGACGACGGGUAGGGGGCCUGAGAGGGUGAUCCCCCACACUGGAACUGAGACACGGUCCAGACUCCUACGGGAGGCAGCAGUGAGGAAUAUUGCUCAAUGGGCGCAAGCCUGAAGCAGCGACGCCGCGUGGGCGAUGAAGGUCUUCGGAUCGUAGAGCCCUUUUCACCGGGACGAGCAAGGACGGUACCGGUGGAAUAAGUGUCGGCUAACUACGUGCCAGCAGCCGCGGUAAAACGUAGGACGCAAGCGUUAUCCGGAAUUACUGGGCGUAAAGCGCGUGUAGGCGGAUGUUUAAGUCACUGUUGAAAGCUCCUGGCUA